RNAcentral lists this ribosomal RNA (253 nucleotides) under uncultured bacterium. RNAcentral describes it as "partial 16S ribosomal RNA". It matches the Rfam family "Bacterial small subunit ribosomal RNA", at positions 524 to 776 of the family's 1533-position model. The record is from RNAcentral.
UACGUAGGUGGCAAGCGUUGUCCGGAUUUACUGGGCGUAAAGAGCGCGCAGGCGGCAGAUCAAGUCAGGCGUGAAAGCCCCGGGCUUAACCUGGGAACUGCGUCUGGGACUGGUUUGCUAGAGAUCGGGAGAGGAGAGUGGAAUUCCCAGUGUAGAGGUGAAAUUCGUAGAUAUUGGGAAGAACACCGACGGCGUAGGCAGCGCCCUGGACGACACCUGACGCUGAGGCACGAAAGCUGGGGGAGCGAACAGG